RNAcentral lists this ribosomal RNA (497 nucleotides) under uncultured bacterium. RNAcentral's name for it is "partial 16S ribosomal RNA". It matches the Rfam family "Bacterial small subunit ribosomal RNA", at positions 28 to 507 of the family's 1533-position model. The record is from RNAcentral.
GAUGAACGCUGGCGGCGUGCCUAAUACAUGCAAGUCGAACGCAUAGCGAAAGGUGCUUGCACCUUUCAAGUGAGUGGCGAACGGGUGAGUAACACGUGGACAACCUGCCUCAAGGCGGGGGAUAACAUGUGGAAACAGAUGCUAAUACCGAAUAAAACUUAGUGUCGCAUGACACAAAGUUAAAAGGCGCUUCUGCGUCACCUAGCGAUGGAUCCGCGCUGCAUUAGUUAGUUGGUGGGGUAAAGGCCUACCAAGACAAUGAUGCAUAGCCGAGUUGAGAGACUGAUCGGCCACAUUGGAACGGAGACACGGCCCUAACUCCUACGGGAGGCUGCAGUAGGGAAUCUUCCACAAUGGGCGAAAGCCUGAUGGAGCAACGCCGCGUGUGAGAUGAAGGCUUUCGGGUCGUAAAGCAGUGUUGUAUGGGAAGAACAGCUAGAAUAGGAAAUGAUGUUAGUUUGACGGUACCAUACCAGAAAGCGACGGCUAAAUACGUG